UGGGGAAUCUUGCACAAUGGGCGAAAGCCUGAUGCAGCAACGCCGCGUGCGGGAAGAAGGCCCUAGGGUUGUAAACCGCUUUCAGCAGGGAAGAAGAUGACGGUACCUGUAGAAGAAGGUGCGGCCAACUACGUGCCAGCAGCCGCGGUGACACGUAGGCACCAAGCGUUGUCCGGAUUUAUUGGGCGUAAAGAGCUCGUGGGCGGUUCGGUAAGUCGGGUGUGAAAACUCUGGGCUCAACCCAGAGCCGCCACCCGAUACUGCUGUGACUUGAGUUCGGUAGGGGAGCGGGGAAUUCCUGGUGUAGCGGUGAAAUGCGCAGAUAUCAGGAGGAACACCAGUGGCGAAGGCGCCGCUCUGGGCCGAGACUGACGCUGAGGAGCGAAAGCGUGGGUAGCAAACAGGAUUAGAUACCCUGGUAGUCCACGCCGUAAACGUUGGGCACUAGGUGUGGGUCUCAACCAACGAGAUCCGCGCCGUCGCUAACGCAUUAAGUCG
This 498-nucleotide ribosomal RNA is filed under the name uncultured Actinomycetes bacterium. RNAcentral's name for it is "bacterial SSU rRNA". It matches the Rfam family "Bacterial small subunit ribosomal RNA", at positions 355 to 867 of the family's 1533-position model. Lineage: Bacteria; Bacillati; Actinomycetota; Actinomycetes. The record is from RNAcentral.